RNAcentral lists this ribosomal RNA (310 nucleotides) under uncultured bacterium. Its description in RNAcentral is "partial 16S ribosomal RNA". It matches the Rfam family "Bacterial small subunit ribosomal RNA", at positions 503 to 807 of the family's 1533-position model. The record is from RNAcentral.
AAGAGACAGCAGCCGCCGCGGUAAAACGUAGGUGGCAAGCGUUGUCCGGAAUUAUUGGGCGUAAAGCGCGCGCAGGUGGUUUAAUAAGUCUGAUGUGAAAGCCCACGGCUCAACCGUGGAGGGUCAUUGGAAACUGUUAAACUUGAGUGCAGGAGAGAAAAGUGGAAUUCCUAGUGUAGCGGUGAAAUGCGUAGAGAUUAGGAGGAACACCAGUGGCGAAGGCGGCUUUUUGGCCUGUAACUGACACUGAGGCGCGAAAGCGUGGGGAGCAAACAGGAUUAGAUACCCGCGUAGUCCCUGUCUCUUAUAC